GACGAACGCUGGCGGCGUGCUUAACACAUGCAAGUCGAACGGAAAGGCCCUGCUUUUGUGGGGUGCUCGAGUUGCGAACUGGUGAGUAACCCGUGAGUACCCUGCCCUUGCCUUUGGGAUAUCUUCAGGACACUGGGGCUAAUCCCGGCUAGGAGUUCCUGCUUCAUGGUGGGGGUUGGUUAGUUUCGGUGGUUGGGGAUGGACUCGCGGCCUAUCAGCUUGUUGGUGGGGUAGUGUCUUACCAAGGCUUUGACGGGUAGCCGGCCUGAGAGGGUGACCGGCCACAUUGGGACUGAGAUACGGCCCAGACUCCUACGGGAGGCAGGAGUGGGGAAGAUUACACUAUGGGCGGAAGCCAGAUGCAGCAACGCCGCGUGCGGGAUGAGGGCCAGCGGGUUGGAUACCACUUUCGCCUUUGACGAGGCGAGAGUGACGGUAAUGGGUGAAGAAGCACCGGCUAACUACGUG
Molecule: ribosomal RNA, 468 nt
Filed under: uncultured bacterium
Lineage: Bacteria
Description: partial 16S ribosomal RNA
Rfam family: Bacterial small subunit ribosomal RNA
Source: RNAcentral